AGUGGGGAAUAUUGCACAAUGGAGGGAACUCUGAUGCAGCGAUGCCGCGUGAGGGAAGAAGGUUUUCGGAUUGUAAACCUCUGUCUUCGGGGACGAUAGUGACGGUACCCGAGGAGGAAGCUCCGGCUAACUACGUGCC
RNAcentral lists this ribosomal RNA (139 nucleotides) under uncultured bacterium. Its description in RNAcentral is "partial 16S rRNA". It matches the Rfam family "Bacterial small subunit ribosomal RNA", at positions 353 to 509 of the family's 1533-position model. The record is from RNAcentral.